CGUCAAGUCAUCAUGCCCCUUAUGCCCAGGGCUGCACGCAUGCUACAAUGGCCGGUACAAUGGGCUGCGAACCCGCGAGGGGGAGCUAAUCCUCAAAGCCGGCCUCAGUUCGGAUUGGAGUCUGCAACUCGACUCCAUGAAGCCGGAGUUGCUAGUAACCGCGCGUCAGCCAUAGUGCGGUGAAUACGUUCCCGGGCCUU
This 200-nucleotide ribosomal RNA is filed under the name uncultured organism. RNAcentral describes it as "partial small subunit ribosomal RNA". It matches the Rfam family "Bacterial small subunit ribosomal RNA", at positions 1183 to 1382 of the family's 1533-position model. The record is from RNAcentral.